Molecule: non-coding RNA, 30 nt
Filed under: Mus musculus (house mouse)
Lineage: Eukaryota; Metazoa; Chordata; Mammalia; Rodentia; Muridae
Source: RNAcentral
UGCAGAUGAGAGAAUAAUAGAAAAGGGAAA